AUGAAGCCAUCACACAGGAAACUGAAGCAGAAAAACGGGGAAAAGAGAACAAGAAAGGAGACGAGGGAUGAAAAGGCUGGAGAGCUGGGUUGGUUAAUUUGGAAAUGGAAUUUGCAGAGAUGUCUAAAUGUGGACAGUUCACAGGUGCAGAAGCCAAAGCCUUUGGUGAUAACUUCGCCAGAGGUCACACGUGGCUUAUGCCACAGCAGAUAUUGAAAGCCCAAGGUCCGCUCCUCCUCACUCCGCCCUAGUGCCCAGGACGAAGAGAAUCUGUUCCAAGACACUCAGUGGAUGCCUGAGACUGUGGAUAAUACCAAACUCCAAGCACAGGUACGUUUUUGUCUAUUCUUAUGUACAAGGUGUGAUUGAAAUACAUGGUGAAUGUUUUAAAUUUUUUAAAAUUUAUUGUAAUGAAAGACACUCAUUGUCACGAAUCCCCCUCAGAAUGUUCCCCUUUGGUUUGUACGCACUCAUCCCCCGCUCUUGCCACUUUCUGAAGCAGUUCCGGAAGUCCUCUUUCAUGGCCACAAAUAUCGUGAGCGCCGCUGCCUAGCGCCAUCCGGCGGGAAUACACAAGCUUGUGGGAACACAGUGGUGGUCAUGAUCUCCACAGUCACUGGAUCUGGCGCAGUGCAACUUCUGGACCUUCAAAGUCAACAUGAGUAAGAAAGGCAAACAUUGUGAAUCAAUUCGGAACAUAGAGGCUGUCACAGCAGUGCGAAAAGACAGCUCUCCAAAGCCCACAGCUCUCAGUAGCCACAGCCUGCACGGUCCCCUCCCUUGAAUUUGAGUGGGUCUUGUGACUGUCUUCUGACAAAUGAAAUGUGGCAGGGUGACACCCGGCUGGUUCUGGGGCCAUACUUUAAGAGGAGCCGGCGUCUUCCGCUUUUGGAUUGUUGGGAUCCAGGCACCGUGGAAAGACCACAGGAGGAGGGGGAGAGGUUCUUGCUUCAUGCACAAAGUACCAGACACAUGAGCGAAGCCAACGUGGUCGGCACAACACUCCAGACGAAACCAGAGCGGUCUGCAUAAAACUGUGACAGGUAAAGAGAAACACCGACACAUUCCAUGAGGAUGCCUUAACUGAAAAGUUAAGUAUGCAUUGAUAUUAACAGGGACACCACUCCAGUCUAAGGAAGAAGUACAUGUAAAGGUCCUGAGGCAGGAGGAAUAGUUAGAGGCCACCAUGGGGA
This 1193-nucleotide long non-coding RNA is filed under the name Fukomys damarensis (Damara mole-rat). RNAcentral describes it as "lncRNA (ENSFDAG00000024284.1)". The record is from RNAcentral. Lineage: Eukaryota; Metazoa; Chordata; Mammalia; Rodentia; Bathyergidae.